AACGCUAGCGGCAGGCUUAACACAUGCAAGUCAGGGGCAGCAUGAGACGGAGAUUCGUCAAAGUCUUGAUGGCGACCGGCGCAAGGGUGCGUAACGCGUGAGCAACUUGCCCGUUUCUGGGGAAUAACCGGUGGAAACGUCGUCUAAUCCCCCCAUAUAAUCAUUAUGCCGCAUGGUGAGAUGAUGAAAGCUAAUUGUGGUGACGGAUGGGCAUGCGGUGCAUUAGCUAGUAGGCGGGGUAACGGCCCACCUAGGCUACGAUGCAUAGGGGUUCUGAGAGGAAGGUCCCCCACACUGGUACUGAGACACGGACCAGACUCCUACGGGAGGCAGCAGUGAGGAAUAUUGGUCAAUGGUCGAGAGACUGAACCAGCCAAGUCGCGUGAAGGAAGACGGUUCUAUGGAUUGUAAACUUCUUUAGUCGGGGAGCAAAAAGAGUGACGUGUCACUAAUUGAGCGUACCCGAAGAAUAAGCAUCGGCUAACUCCGUG
RNAcentral lists this ribosomal RNA (491 nucleotides) under uncultured bacterium. RNAcentral's name for it is "bacterial SSU rRNA". It matches the Rfam family "Bacterial small subunit ribosomal RNA", at positions 32 to 507 of the family's 1533-position model. The record is from RNAcentral.